RNAcentral lists this long non-coding RNA (952 nucleotides) under Monodelphis domestica (gray short-tailed opossum). RNAcentral describes it as "lncRNA (ENSMODG00000037246.1)". The record is from RNAcentral. Lineage: Eukaryota; Metazoa; Chordata; Mammalia; Didelphimorphia; Didelphidae.
GACUUUUUUCCUCCUGCUCUCAAACAAGGGCUUCCCUGUCUCAGGGGAAGAUUCUGAUCUUCCACGACCUGAGGAUUUCUCCAUUUGUCUUUCAGAAUCCAACAUGUUUGUCCAAACUUCACAAUGGAAAGAAGAUUCCAAUGGCAGGGCUGUCUGACUCAUCACCAAUAGAGGGAGCCAGAGAACAUAGAACUGUGCUAGGAGCUGUCUUAGAGCUGCAUAAGAAAUUGCGCUACACCUGACAAAGCAGCUAACUCCAAAGCUAUUGGAGGCAGGGAUCCUGGUCCCAAAUAGAACCUGGACUCCAUAUAGAAUUUUCCAGCCAGCAGGCCUCAGCAACUGAGAAAGCAGAUUGAACUGAACAACCCCAGGGUCAAUUUUGUGAAAAGAACAAAGUGAGGCCAGAAUCAAGUAUUUUGUACAAGAUGGAGACAACCAUCCAGAUGUUUGGCCCACAUACUCAGAUGGCAACCAUCCAGAUGUUUUGGUGUUGUGUAGAUGAGAGAGAAGCCAACAACUGCCAGAAACUGCCUUCUUCAGAGUUCCGGAACCUGGGCCCUGCUUCUGACCUGCAGGAUCUCCUGCUUUGCAGCAAAGACCUAAUCUUACAACAACAGAGCCUUUCCUGAGGUAACAAACACAGACCACUAUAUAACAGGGAUGGAUGUUGGAUUGAUUGAACAAGGAAAGGUGAAAUGGGAAUUUGGGAUAAUCCUAAACUAAUGUCAACUACCUAAACCCCCCAGAUCUAAAUAUCUCUUCCAGAGAUUUCUUCACAGAUUUUGAGCUAACCUAACCCUUACCUGUCUGUCUAAAGACCCUAGUCCCUAAUAUAGAUAAACCUACACUAACCAAUCCCCCUUUUGAUGGUAAUAGAGGUUGUGGGUUUUGGCAGUUUGGCAGGAAAGGGCACAGGGAGAGGUUCUGGAUCCAGAAGGACCCCAGACCCAAU